RNAcentral lists this unclassified non-coding RNA (431 nucleotides) under plant metagenome. RNAcentral describes it as "partial contains 5.8S ribosomal RNA, internal transcribed spacer 2, and large subunit ribosomal RNA". The stretch from base 1 to 102 matches the Rfam family "5.8S ribosomal RNA", at positions 50 to 154 of the family's 154-position model. The record is from RNAcentral.
AAACUGCGAUAAGUAGUGUGAAUUACAUUUAGUGAAUCAUCGAAUCUUUGAACGCACCUUGCACUCACUGGUAUUCCGGUGAGUACGCCUGUUUCAGUAUCAUUGAAAACACACAAUCAAAACAUUUUCUUUGGUUUGAUUGGCUUUGGGUCUAUCAAAAAGUUUGGCUUGUUUCUUACAAGCCAAGCGGCCUGAAAUAUAUUGUCUGGCUAAUUGCAUCGUUGAUGAUCGCUAUUAGACUUUGGCUUUUUUAAAUGAACUGGAGGUUGAUUAACCAGUUUUAGCUUUAGUCAAAUGGUCAUUGUAAAAAAAAUCUCGAUCUUGGCUAGGUGUUUAUAGCCGAAAAUUUUUUUUUGGCUAUAACCGAAACCAAUAUAAUCACAUUUAGUUAUCGAUCUGAAAUCAGGUGGGACUACCCGCUGAACUUAAGC